AUGAUGUUCUCUUAUGUAUUGCUGUGAUUGUCAGGUGAGGAUUGAAGUGAUCUGUUCCAUAGUGAACAACACGUUUAUGAUUUUAUUCUUAAAUUAAACUUUUAGCACAUGGUGUUAAAAGUUUAAACAAGUAAAUUUCACGAAAUACAUUCAUUCCCCACAUAUUUGAUAAGGAAAAAGAAAAAAAAACCAAUUGAUAGAAGUUCAAGAACUUUAAUUUAUUAAAAUAUUAAAGCAUGUUACUGAACAGUUCGAUGACCGAGAUGAACGAGAACAUCAAACAUUAAACAUAAGAACCAGACCAUAGCACUAACAGGUCGGACCCAAGCUUCAUCGUCCAUGACGGUGUCAGUUUUUAUUGUCUUAAUGUCGUUUGUGGAGGUGGUGAACUGUCUGUCUCCUGCCCGAGCAGCGCAGCCUGGUGUCAGCUCAGAGCAACACGUCGACACGCAACCUGCUCCUCGUGAAUAUCCUGCUUCGGUAUUUAGAACAUCUCGACGAGCGGAUCACAACACUCCGACCCACGUGUAUUUCGGGUAGGAUGCGCGUGCCCGCGCUUUAGGGGCCGGUGACGUGCCGCGUGCCCGCGCAUUAGCUGCAGUAGCACGGAAUGACAUCGUGACCAGGUGAGGAAGUUGGACACCAGGCCAGUUAGCCCCAGCCCCUUUUCACAGUGUCGUGUUAUUCGCGGUGUAAUUCAGUCUCAUGUGAUCAGAUCUUCAUAUCUAUAUGAAUGUUUCAUGCACUGGUUGUUCAGUGUGUUGACUUGUUGGACACAUGUUGGUGCUUCUGCUCUUCAGGUGUUGAAGUGUCUGAACGUUUGGUCUCCUCAGGGAACCAUGAGGGCGUUUGUCCGACUCUUCUCGAGGCAGAAGAAGGUGAAGACGUGUCUUUGUGCUGUCGCCUGGUUCCCUCGGUCGACUUGAAGGACCUCACCCUGGAAGUCACCAGAACUGACGUGGACAAGGAGGUUUACGUGUGUCGACUCGGGAAGGAGAUCGCUGAAGAACAGUCGUCUCAGUACAAACACAGAACACGUCUGAGACAAGACUCGAUCACAGGAACCUUCACUCUGACGAUCUCCUCAGUGAACACGUCCGACAGUGGAACGUACCAGUGGUACUCACCCCAACAUGAGGCCAUGUGCAGGUUCAACCUCACAGUGGGUAAGAAGUGAAUCUAAUACUGUACAGGACAGUUGUGUUUGUAUCUGACCUGAAACAGUGAAGAAGAGAGACGGGUUCAGGACCACGACGCCUCUGGUGACGACAAACAGCCCUGGUGAAGGAAAGAAGGAACAAGUCAGAGUCAGAGUCGGAGUCGGAGUCAGAGUCGGAGUCGGACUCGGACUCCUUGUUGCUGUUGUGAUUAUUAUCAUCUUCCUGGUGAAAACUGGAACGAUCCGGAAAUGUACGGAGAGAGUCCGAGGACGAAGGAGACCAGAUGCAGAUCAGGUGUCGAGCAUCCAAGAAUGUGAACAGGCUGAGAAGCUGGUGGACGUCGUCGUCGUCGGGGUGAGGAGGUCGACGGAGCGAGUCGACAACACUCCACGUUAUCUCACAUGAGACAACCUGUCGUCUUGUUUCCUCACGUCUGGACACGAACAGUCCAGAGUUUUAUCCAGAGAUGUAAUUAUAUAACUGGAAUAUGGUUUUAGAGAAACAUUAAUGAUGCCUUUUUAUUUAAAUUUUACUGAUCACUAUUUAAAGUCUGGCCCCAAACAACAAAUCACAAAUAUUGACCCCAUAUGAGCUUUUAUGCUCUUAUUUGUAUUUAUUUGCCUUUACGUAAUGUCGUCCUUUUCUUUGUGUUGUUCUCAGUCUUUUAUUUGUACUUAUAUAUAUAUAUAUAUAUAUAUAUAUGUGUGUAAUAACUGCCUUCAGACGUGGAAACAAAGUGAUGUGGGCAACUUCAUGACCCCUGUGUCCAGGCUGCCACAUAUGGAGGUUUACAUUGUUGGAAUAAAAAUAUUUUAAAUGUUCAAGGCCUUUUCCUUAUACUCUCAGCAUUAACAAUCCAACCAUUACAUUUACAUCUUAUAGUUGUGUUAUGACUUGCCUUUACGUAAUGUUGUCCUUUUCUUUGUGUUGUUCUCAGUCUUUUAUUUGUACUUUCUGUUUUUACGUGAAGUCGUCCUCAUUCUUAUUUGUUUUAUUAGAGUAAAUGACCCCGAGUCUGUUGUGUCUUUGUAACCCCUGUUUUUAAAGAAAUUAUUAUUAAAUAGCACUUUUCUGAACAAUAAUGAAACGUUUUUGUGAUU
Molecule: RNA transcript, 2260 nt
Organism: Scophthalmus maximus (turbot)
Lineage: Eukaryota; Metazoa; Chordata; Actinopteri; Pleuronectiformes; Scophthalmidae
Gene name: butyrophilin subfamily 2 member A2-like
Exons: 3
Source: RefSeq, a predicted model, not a curated record